GGCUUUGUAGUGUAGCGGUUAUCACUCAAGAUUCUGAUUCGCUCUGAUUUCUUGUAACCCCGGUUCGAAUCCGGGCAAGGCCU
Molecule: non-coding RNA, 83 nt
Organism: Crepidotus variabilis
Lineage: Eukaryota; Fungi; Basidiomycota; Agaricomycetes; Agaricales; Crepidotaceae
Source: the annotation of a GenBank genome assembly